UGGGGAAUAUUGCACAAUGGGCGCAAGCCUGAUGCAGCAACGCCGCGUGAACGAUGAAGGUCUUCGGAUCGUAAAGUUCUGUUGCAGGGGAAGAUAAUGACGGUACCCUGUGAGGAAGCCCCGGCUAACUACGUGCCAGCAGCCGCGGUAAUACGUAGGGGGCUAGCGUUAUCCGGAUUUACUGGGCGUAAAGGGUGCGUAGGUGGUCUUUCAAGUCGGUGGUUAAAGGCUACGGCUCAACCGUAGUUAGCCUCCGAAACUGGAAGACUUGAGUGCAGGAGAGGAAAGUGGAAUUCCCAGUGUAGCGGUGAAAUGCGUAGAUAUUGGGAGGAACACCAGUAGCGAAGGCGACUUUCUGGACUUGAACUGACGCUGAGGCACGAAAGCGUGGGGAGCAAACAGG
RNAcentral lists this ribosomal RNA (403 nucleotides) under Verrucomicrobiota bacterium. Its description in RNAcentral is "Verrucomicrobia bacterium partial 16S ribosomal RNA". It matches the Rfam family "Bacterial small subunit ribosomal RNA", at positions 355 to 776 of the family's 1533-position model. The record is from RNAcentral. Lineage: Bacteria; Pseudomonadati; Verrucomicrobiota.